Chlorocebus sabaeus (green monkey) is the source of this 585-nucleotide long non-coding RNA. RefSeq lists it as uncharacterized. The record is from RefSeq and is a predicted model, not a curated record. NCBI's taxonomy places the organism in Eukaryota, Metazoa, Chordata, Mammalia, Primates, Cercopithecidae.
CAUUCCAUGAGGAUAGUGUGUAAAAAUACCACCAUUUCCAACACUCUUCUCCCUUUCCCCAUGGCUGCCUAGAAUGAUACUUAAGGACUCAUCUCCCCUCCUCCUCAGAGCUGGGGCUGAAGAAAUGUGGUUGCAAAGCCCAUGUAUAGCACAUAAUAAGCAUUCAAAAAAUGAUUUUUGUAUCGUUCAUUCAUGCAGACAUUUAUUGGGAAUCUUCUGUAUGCCAGGCACUGUGCUUAGCAGUGGGAAUGCAGCAGUGAACAAGACAGAAGAGUUCCUUGAAGGCUUAAAAUCUAGAAGGACUAGACUGUUAUACAUAAAUACAAUUAUGACCAGAUCCAUGAGGUCUCAGCCUGUUAGAGUUGAGAUGGUGUAUCCCUGUGUUGCCCAGGCUGGAAUGCAGUGACUGUUUAUAGCUGCGAUCAUAGCAUACUACGUCCUCAAACUCCUGGGCUCAAGCAAUCCCCUUGCUUCAGCCUGCCAAGUAACUGGGACUAUAGGCGCACUGCUGUGCCUGGCUUUGUGUUUGUUGAAAUAAUUUGAAAGGGUAUGCUGGAAGCAAAUUAAAGUGGUUAUUGAAGCAGA